This 450-nucleotide ribosomal RNA is filed under the name uncultured bacterium. RNAcentral describes it as "partial 16S ribosomal RNA". It matches the Rfam family "Bacterial small subunit ribosomal RNA", at positions 354 to 796 of the family's 1533-position model. The record is from RNAcentral.
GUGGGGAAUAUUGGACAAUGGGCGAAAGCCUGAUCCAGCCAUGCCGCGUGUGUGAAGAAGGUCUUCGGAUUGUAAAGCACUUUAAGUUGGGAGGAAGGGCAGUAAGUUAAUACCUUGCUGUUUUGACGUUACCGACAGAAUAAGCACCGGCUAACUUCGUGCCAGCAGCCGCGGUAAUACGAAGGGUGCAAGCGUUAAUCGGAAUUACUGGGCGUAAAGCGCGCGUAGGUGGUUCGUUAAGUUGGAUGUGAAAGCCCCGGGCUCAACCUGGGAACUGCAUCCAAAACUGGCGAGCUAGAGUACGGUAGAGGGUGGUGGAAUUUCCUGUGUAGCGGUGAAAUGCGUAGAUAUAGGAAGGAACACCAGUGGCGAAGGCGACCACCUGGACUGAUACUGACACUGAGGUGCGAAAGCGUGGGGAGCAAACAGGAUUAGAUACCCCUGUAGUCC